UNCCGGAGGAUCUUGCCGGAGNGCACCGCGAACGAGGCACGACAAAGCCACGCGAGACGAAAGCCGCAAGGCACGGCGAACUGCUCAGUAACACGUGGACAACCUACCCUUAGGACUGGGAUAACCCCGGGAAACUGGGAAUAAUCCCCGAUAGUCCUCGAAGGCUGGAAUGCAUCGAGGGCGAAAGCUCCGGCGCCUAAGGAUGGGUCUGCGGCCUAUCAGGUAGUAGUGGGUGUAGCGUACCUACUAGCCUACGACGGGUACGGGUUGUGAGAGCAAGAGCCCGGAGAUGGAUUCUGAGACACGAAUCCAGGCCCUACGGGGUGCAGCAGGCGCGAAAACUUUACAAUGCUGGCAACAGCGAUAAGGUAAUCUCGAGUGCCAGGUUACAAAUCUGGCUGUCGAGAUGCCUAAAAAGCAUUUCAUAGCAAGGGCCGGGCAAGACCGGUGCCAGCCGCCGCGGUAACACCGGCGGCUCGAGUGGUAACCGUUAUUAUUGGGUCUAAAGGGUCUGUAGCCGGCCGGAUAAGUCUCUUGGGAAAUCUGGCAGCUCAACUGUCAGGCUAUCAGGAGAUACUGUCUGGCUCGAGGCCGGGAGAGGU
Molecule: ribosomal RNA, 602 nt
Filed under: uncultured archaeon
Lineage: Archaea
Description: bacterial SSU rRNA
Rfam family: Archaeal small subunit ribosomal RNA
Source: RNAcentral